AGCAGGUCACUUCACCUCUCCCUAUCUUUCUCUGUAAAACCCAGAUAAUACUACUUCCAGAAGAAAGAAAGGGUUUUCUUUAAGCCCUUUGAGCUUCAGAUGGAGGCACCACAGCCCUGCCCGGGGCCCGCGCCGGCCACCAUGUGAUUAGGUAAUGUGAGACGCGGCUCAUUAUGCUUUGUCUGCAAUGAAUGCGGCCCGGCCACAAAGCGCUGGAACUUUCGGUUACAUUGAAACCCCCGCGGUAAGCGGGGAUUGCCUUACACUCCAAUAAAGCACACCAGAAAAGAGCAGUCAUUUGGACUAACCCGGUCCUCAAUGAACACUCGCAUUUGAUUUCUUCUGCUGAGUAGAAGACGGACCUCUGAAGCCUUCCUGAUGACGCCUUGGGCAGGGCUCACUCAGCUUGACAAACUUUGACCCGGAACCCUCUGAUCCCAUUUUGAUGAAUGAAGUCAAAACCCCAGUGGGUUCACUCAUCUGGCUGCUAUAGCACAGCCAGUCAAAGAUCUCAGUACCCAUCUGGAUACUUCAUUAGGGUCCUAAGACAUCUGGGGACCAGCGAUGGAAGAAACGUGCUUGUGUCGGGCGCCUAUCACACGCCCGCACUGUGCUGAGCCCUUUCCAAUAUGGUAUCUCGGAUAGUCCCCCACCAAAAAAAAAAAAAAGAAAAGAAAAGAAAAGAAAAGAAAACCUGCCAGAGUGGAAUUAUCAUUUCCAUUUUAUGAGUGAGGAAACAGGCACAGAGAGGCUGAGUGACCUACCCAAGGUCACACAGGUGGGAAAUAGCAGUUCCUGAAUUUGAACCAAGAUGAUGACAUUGUCAAGGGGCAGUUUGGGAGGUUUUCAUUGCGGCCCCAACUCCGGCAGCAACGUCCUUCUUCAUGACAUCCCCCUCCCCCAAAUAAAUACACAGUCUGAGUAAGAAGAAUAUGCAGGGGACACGAUGACACUUUCGGGGUUCCCCUGCCUCCUCCCUUUCACGGAGAUGGCUGCCCCAAGCCCCUCUGCACAGACACCCUGGAGUCCCCACUAAAUCAAGAUCCGUCUGACUCUGAAGGACAGGUCCUCCCAAUACAACCGGAUGUCAGUUCUCUUCGAUUCCUACCAAGAAGACCUUUGCUUUCUUAAAACCUUUACGUAGAAGAGCCAGUCGGUCAGUGUAGGAUUCCCCUAACGGAGACCCGAACCACAGAUUCCAGAAUUUCACCAGCCUACCCAAGGUCACCAGCCCAUGAAAUGCCCCACACUUCUCAGGGAACAGUGAUGCAUCGCAUCCUGGCGGGGAGCACGGGCGUGAAGAAGCACAGCAUUAGUGAUGUAGAUUAGAGUUUCAACUUAUGUUGAAGCAUCUGCUGGCCAAGGUCCAGUUCAUUUUGGGUUCCAGCUAAAUUUAUUCGGCCUCAGGCGCCUGGGUGGCUCAGUCGGCUGAGCAUCUGACUUCAGCUCUGGUCGUGAUCUCCACGGUCCGUGGGUUCCAGCCCCGCAUCGGGCUCUGUGCUGACAGCUCGGA
Prionailurus viverrinus (fishing cat) is the source of this 1513-nucleotide long non-coding RNA. RefSeq lists it as uncharacterized. The record is from RefSeq and is a predicted model, not a curated record. NCBI's taxonomy places the organism in Eukaryota, Metazoa, Chordata, Mammalia, Carnivora, Felidae. The transcript is spliced from 3 exons.